Molecule: ribosomal RNA, 253 nt
Filed under: uncultured bacterium
Lineage: Bacteria
Description: partial 16S ribosomal RNA
Rfam family: Bacterial small subunit ribosomal RNA
Source: RNAcentral
UACGUAGGGUGCAGGCGUUAAUCGGAAUUACUGGGCGUAAAGCGUGCGCAGGCGGUAUCUUAAGUCAGAUGUGAAAUCCCCGGGCUUAACCUGGGAAUGGCAUUUGGGACUGCAAGGCUGGAGUGUGGCAGAGGAGACUGGAAUUCCUGGUGUAGCAGUGAAAUGCGUAGAUAUCAGGAGGAAUACCGAUGGCGAAGGCAGGUCUCUGGGCUGACACUGACGCUCAUGCACGAAAGCGUGGGGAGCAAACAGG